GGGCGCUUAGCUCAGCUGGUUUAGAGCGCCUGCCUUACAAGCAGGAGGUCACUGGUUCGAAUCCAGUAGUGCCCACCA
Molecule: transfer RNA, 78 nt
Filed under: Candidatus Glassbacteria bacterium RIFCSPLOWO2_12_FULL_58_11
Lineage: Bacteria; Candidatus Glassiibacteriota
Description: tRNA-Val
Rfam family: tRNA
About the family: Transfer RNA (tRNA) molecules are approximately 80 nucleotides in length. Their secondary structure includes four short double-helical elements and three loops (D, anti-codon, and T loops).
Source: RNAcentral